GAGAACUUCUGAGAAGCGGACUGGGAAAAGGGAAAAGCUGUACUGUGGGAAAGCAAGUGUUCUUCAUAAAUAAACAACAGAAUGGACUCUUGUGGGAAACUGCUGAAAUAAGGAGAAGCGAUGGAGAACGCAAAAGCACUGGAUGUCGUUCCACAGCUAAGCCAAGGAAAAAUCUUGAAAAUUAUGAACAUGGUGAAAAACAAAGAACUGAGCGUCGAAGAAGCCCUGGAUUUAGCAGAAAGAGAGAGAAAUGCAGAAGAAAAAGAAGAAAAGCAGAUGGCAUCGUGGGUGGAUUCCCUGGACUUGCCAAACAACUCGCAAUUCAACUUCAUUGUCUACAAAUAUAACCGCUACCGGUGGCAGAAAAGGAUUUUGCAGAUUGAUCUGAGCACCAAGACAAUUUUUAACAUAGAGAAGGGGAUUAUCAAAAAACAGUUCCCGUUUCCCCAAGUCAAAUCCUGUGCAUACGGUGAAGGAAGUCGUUUCAGAAUUAACUUCCAUGGACGCCAGGACUAUAUCCUGGAAGCAGCAUCGGUGGAUGAUAAAAAUAAGAUAAUACACCUCGUGAGUAAGAUUAUACAGAGUAACGCCUGCAGAGGGCUGGCAGGACCUUGCUGUGGUGAGCCUGAAAAAUGUGAUGUGAUCCACGAAGGAAUUUUGGAUCUACAGCUAGAGACGCCAAAGUCCAUUAAAUGGGUGAAACACUUUGUGCAGCUGAGCGAACGGGAGCUGAGCUUACAUUGCAUCGACCAACGGCAGAUGGAGACGGCGGCUCCUGUAGCAAAAACAAUUAACUUGUCAAGUGGAGAUGCAGUUGUCGGUGAGGAGGAUGGUUCUGGCACCUUCUUGCUUCAAACAAAGGAAGCCAAGUACUUAUUCCAAAUACCCUUUACUGUCCAGAACAACAAACUAGAGGACAUUAUCAAGCUCCGAAACGAGUGGAUGCUGCUCAUAGACAGAUACUGCUCGUUGCCAAAGGCAGAAUCCCUGAAUCAGGGGAAUGCUUCAGAAGCCGUGUGUGAGGAAGCUCACUGUUUAAAUGAAGGGAAGAUGGAACAGCCCAUCUGUUUCGGUUUGGAAUCUCCUACAGCUCCAGAGGCUGUGACUUUAGCCCACACUCUCCAGGAGAACCGUCCUUUGGUUUCAGCAUUGGGUCAGCUUCCUGGAAGAAUGGUAGAUGGGAAAGCCCCACCUCUUUUCCCCAAGUUGUCCAGCCAGCCUCCAACAUCAACAAGAACAAAAGUGUUCCACUGGGAAGUAGUUCCUCAGGAAAAGAUAGAGAAAUCAAUCUGGACAUCCUGCCACCUGGGCCAGAAAACCAUAGAUGUGGCUCGGCUUCACAACCAGUUUCGUAUUCAAGAAGUGGUGGGAACUCACGGCAAUGAGCCUCUCCUGACACAACAAAUUAUGUUGAACCCAAAAGUUGUGCAUAACUUCAACAUUUUUCUUAAAAGUUUCCGCAUAAAGCCAAGCCAGCUGAAAGAAAAAUUAUACAUUAUACAUGAAGACAGUGGUGGACUUAGCAUUGAGCAGAUUACAGCACUAAGAAGAUACCAGCCCACCGCAAAAGAUAUGGAAAUGUACAUGUCGUUCAAAGGGUCUCCUUCAGAACUGCAUCUGGUGGAUCAAUUUAUGCUAGAAAUGUGUAAAAUACCUAAUUUAUGCAAGAAACUUGACCUCUUGCAUUUCAUACGUGAACUACCAGAAUCCAUGGCUGAACUGGGGCCACUCAUAAACCAGAAGAUCAGGGCAUGCAAACAGCUGCAGGACAACCCAAGAUUUGUUGCUGUGCUGGAAUAUAUCUUAGCCAUUGGGAACUACUUAAAUGAAAAUGCUGGGAGAGAGAAGGCCAAAGGCUUUCAGCUGUCUUCUCUGGCUAAAUUAUCAUUGCUACGAGGGAAGGAGAGGAAUUUCACCUUGCUCCAUGCCCUUGUGGAACAGAUCUUCUUACAUGAGCCUGAUUUGGCUACAUUUUCUCAGGAGUUGACAGAAUUUAAAGCUGUUUCUGCUGCUUCCAUCAAAGGUCUCAGUGCUGAAGUUGAAGUUUUACGGAAAGAAUUAGACAGCAUUGCUGAGUGCAGAAGACUAAUAAAACCCAAGGUUACCAAGGCAGGAGCUAUGGAGUCACAGUUCUACAAAGAGCUGAAGGAUUUGAUUCAGGCAUAUGAAGGCGACCUUUCUCAGUUAUAUAGAAGCUGUCAAGAAAUGAAAAAGGCCUAUCACAACCUACUGAUGAAAUUUGGGGAAGCAGAAGAUCGAGACUCAGAAGAGCUUUUUGCCUGGAUCUCAGCUUUUAUCAGUGAUUUCAGAAGAGUCUCAGCCGAGAUUAUACCAUGAGUGCAGUAACUGAAUCGGCAAAACUGAACAGUGUUGCCUUGAGGGUGUCAGCGGAAAUCAGAUGAUUUGUGUGGUUAUUGUUUUAGUCAUUUGUACAUCAAUGAAUUUCUGCUUGAAUAUAACUUUCUUAAUGACAUUGCAGACCCUGUGCUGAAAAAACCUCUGCUGCCAGGAAGGCCCAAACUGGAUCUACAAUAGUUCUUCCAGCUAGAGGUGAAAUAAGGAAAACAGGACAGUUGAUUUGUUCUCAGGCCUGAACCAGUCUCUGAAUGUAAGCCAGGAACUUCCUAACUUUGUGAAAGACCAUGGACUAUAUAUGAUUUACCACUUUCUCUAAUGUGAACAGAGCAGUGCUUUCUACUGACCUCAGGGAUCUUGAACUAGAGAAAACAGCAUCCAGGUGUACAGGUGCCCUCAGUGCUGGCCCUAGACCAAAGAGUGCCCCAGCUGUUGAGUUCCACCCCCAAGCCCAGCAUCCUAGGUCAGGGGUGGAGAAACAUAGUCCUGGUGAGGAGGAAGAUUUUGUGGCAAAGCCUACUGGGAAGAGUUGUUGU
Zootoca vivipara (common lizard) is the source of this 2891-nucleotide non-coding RNA. Lineage: Eukaryota; Metazoa; Chordata; Lepidosauria; Squamata; Lacertidae. The record is from RefSeq and is a predicted model, not a curated record.